UGAGGAAUAUUGCACAAUGGGCGAAAGCCUGAUGCAGCAACGCCGCGUAGGGGAUGAAGGUCUUCGGAUCGUAAACCCUUUUUCUGGGGGACGAGAAAGGACGGUACCCCAGGAAUAAGUCUCGGCUAACUACGUGCCAGCAGCCGCGGUAAAACGUAGGAGGCAAGCGUUAUCCGGAAUUACUGGGCGUAAAGCGCACGCAGGCGGUUUCGUUAGUCCGACGUGAAAGCUCCUGGCUUAACUGGGAGAGGCCGUUGGAUACUGCGGAACUUGAGGUUGGGAGAGGAAAGUGGAAUUCCCGGUGUAGUGGUGGAAUGCGUAGAUAUCGGGAGGAACUCCAGUGGCGAAAGCGACUUUCUGGCCUACACCUGACGCUGAGGUGCGAAAGCGUGGGGAGCGAACAGG
RNAcentral lists this ribosomal RNA (405 nucleotides) under uncultured bacterium. RNAcentral's name for it is "bacterial SSU rRNA". It matches the Rfam family "Bacterial small subunit ribosomal RNA", at positions 355 to 776 of the family's 1533-position model. The record is from RNAcentral.